This 1014-nucleotide ribosomal RNA is filed under the name uncultured bacterium. RNAcentral's name for it is "bacterial SSU rRNA". It matches the Rfam family "Bacterial small subunit ribosomal RNA", at positions 56 to 1043 of the family's 1533-position model. The record is from RNAcentral.
UGCAGUCGAACGGUAACGACGAGGACAAUCCUUUCGGGGUGCGUUUUCGGGCGACGAGUGGCGGACGGGUGAGUAACGCGUGGGAAUCUGCCCGGCGGCGGGGGACAGCCCGGGGAAACCCGGAUUAAUACCGCAUACGUCCUAUGGGAGAAGGGCGGGGAUCUUUUCGGAGACCUGUCGCCGCCGGAUGAGCCCGCGUUGGAUUAGGUUGUUGGGGGGGUAAUGGCCCACCAAGCCGACGAUCCAUAGCUGGUCUGAGAGGACGACCAGUCACACCGGAACUGAGACACGGUCCGGACUCCUACGGGAGGCAGCAGUGGGGAAUAUUGCGCAAUGGGGGCAACCCUGACGCAGCAAUGCCGCGUGUGUGAAGAAGGCCUUCGGGUUGUAAAGCACUUUCAAUUGGGAAGAAAAGCAUUCGGUUAAUACCCGGGUGUCUUGACGGUACCAUUACAAGAAGCACCGGCUAACUCCGUGCCAGCAGCCGCGGUAAUACGGAGGGUGCAAGCGUUAAUCGGAAUCACUGGGCGUAAAGCGCACGCAGGCGGAUGUUUAAGUCAAAUGUGAAAGCCCCGGGCUCAACCUGGGAAUUGCAUUUGAUACUGGACAUCUUGAGUAUGGCAGAGAGAAGUGGAAUUCCGCAUGUAGCGGUGAAAUGCGUAGAGAUGCGGAGGAACAUCAGUGGCGAAGGCGACUUCUUGGGCCAAUACUGACGCUCAGGUGCGAAAGCGUGGGGAGCGAACAGGAUUAGAUACCCUGGUAGUCCACGCCGUAAACGAUGUCUACCAGCCGUUGCCGGGCUUAGACUCGGCAGUGGCGAAGCUAACGCGUUAAGUAGACCGCCUGGGGAGUACGGCCGCAAGGCUAAAACUCAAAGGAAUUGACGGGGGCCCGCACAAGCGGUGGAGCAUGUGGUUUAAUUCGAUGCAACGCGAAGCACCUUACCCACCCUUGACAUCUUGUCGCGAACCCAGAGAUGGGUUCUUCAGUUUGGCUGGACAAAGACAGGUGCUG